RNAcentral lists this ribosomal RNA (271 nucleotides) under Lentilactobacillus kefiri. RNAcentral describes it as "Lactobacillus kefiri partial 23S ribosomal RNA". It matches the Rfam family "Bacterial large subunit ribosomal RNA", at positions 2652 to 2925 of the family's 2925-position model. The record is from RNAcentral. Lineage: Bacteria; Bacillati; Bacillota; Bacilli; Lactobacillales; Lactobacillaceae.
GUUGGAGAAUUGAGAAAGGCUGUCCUUAGUACGAGAGGACCGGGACGGACGAACCUCUGGUAUGUCAGUUGUACCGCCAGGUGCAUGGCUGAUUGGCUACGUUCGGGAGGGAUAACCGCUGAAAGCAUCUAAGCGGGAAGCUUGUUUCGUGAUGAGUUCUCCUGGCCCCCUGUGUGGGGUGUGAGGUUCCCUGUAGAUGACGGGGUUGAUAGGCCGGGUAUGGAAGCGCUGUAAGGUGUGGAGUUGACUGGUACUAAUAGCCCGAAGGCUU